CAGAAAGCACUGAAAAGAAGAGUACACCAUAAUGAUGUUUGAAGAGAGAGCCUCAGUUAGCUGAAAAGAGGUAACAAAAUUGUGAUGGAAGAUGGUCUUAGAGCAGAAUAAGUGAGCAAUCAGUGAACUUAUUACGGGAGUGCCCGUUAUAGCACCGCAGUAUACGAUAAUGACGGGUCAAUGAUCUGUAUCAAGUACUGGUUAAGGCGAUCAUCGUGAGGUGAGCGUGAAUAAAGGUGGUAACACGAGAGAGAUACUUUCGUCCUUUUU
This 270-nucleotide non-coding RNA is filed under the name Enterococcus sp. RNAcentral's name for it is "T-box sequence". It matches the Rfam family "T-box leader". From Rfam's summary of the family: Uncharged tRNA acts as the effector for transcription antitermination of genes in the T-box leader family. T-boxes are found upstream of many aminoacyl-tRNA synthetase genes and some amino acid biosynthetic genes usually in Gram-positive bacteria. The anticodon of a specific tRNA base pairs to a specifier sequence within the T-box motif, and the NCCA acceptor tail of the tRNA base pairs to a conserved bulge in the T-box antiterminator hairpin. Lineage: Bacteria; Bacillati; Bacillota; Bacilli; Lactobacillales; Enterococcaceae. The record is from RNAcentral.